Herpailurus yagouaroundi (jaguarundi) is the source of this 4144-nucleotide long non-coding RNA. RefSeq lists it as uncharacterized. NCBI's taxonomy places the organism in Eukaryota, Metazoa, Chordata, Mammalia, Carnivora, Felidae. The record is from RefSeq and is a predicted model, not a curated record. The transcript is spliced from 2 exons.
GGAUCCCAAACAGCCGUGGGUGCCUCGCCGAACAGCAGACUCUGUGCCGAGGGCUUGCAUGCGUCCCUUCAGGAACCUUGUGUAAAACCCCACGAGGAAGUGUGGUGAUUUUCUCCCGUUUCAUGGAGGAGGAAACCCAAGCUCUGAGGAGUAAAAAUCAUCCACUCAAGGUUACACAAGGGCCAGGAGCCAGAACUUGGAUCCAGAUCAGUCUAUGCCAGGUCCAAACCCUACAGUCCAGUGACUUGAUCCACAUAAUGUUGCGGAAACGACACAGAAGGGAGAGAUCCGGUUUUCGACCACACUUAAUAUUGAUAACUGGCUUGGGAGGAAGGUUAUCAUUUCCUUCACUCUAUAGAUGAAGGUACGAGUUCAGAGAGGCCAGGCAAGUUCCCCAAGGACACACAGCUGAUAGGCAGGUUUCUGCCCCCACAACCAGAGGUUUUACCCACUGUGGCAUCCUCUCCAGUGCUUUGGGGGAUGGUCAAACAAAUGAGAAGUGUGUCCAGCAGUCUUCUGGGCCGGCUGCCAUCCCUUCUUCUCCAGGGGAGAUGCCCACGCCCGGAGCACCACAAGGAUGGAAUGAUGCAGGCCAUGAGGAAGAAGGAUGAAGUCAGGGGAGCACUGGCGUGCCAGUGACCCUUUGCCAGGAGCUGGAUCUCAUGUGCCACCUCAGCAUCUGGGACGUGUGUGUCUGUUUAAGCAAAGCACAUUCAAGUGGUCCAGACUUUGGGGGACCAUUCCGGAGGGGGGUGUCACACUCAGCUGGGCCAAGGGGAAGGAGGCCCACUCUUCCUUUUCGGGUCCUUUCCUCAAUCCCCGCCCAUCUCACAGCCUUUUCCUCCUCAGAAAAGCUGGGGAGCACGGUGCUGGUGUUGUCAUAGCUGUUACAUGACCACCGUCCAGGCAGGGAGACCCAGAGCACUCGGCGGGUUGGGGGCUCCGGUGGUGGCCUGAGAUUUCUCUCCUGGAGGUCAGCUGAGCCAUCGUCCCUCGCCGCCCGCCAUCCCGACCCUCUCCCCUCCCUCUGGGGCGGUAGGCUCCACUCUGGGAGAAGUGCAGCCUCUGUUCUCUGCGUACCGAUGAAAACAAGGAGCUCAGAGGAGAAAAGUGACUCACCCGGGAGCACCCAGCUGCCAAGGGGCAGAGCCUGCCUGGGACCGGGGUCUUUUGCCACAACCCCCGGCCCUUCUCCCUGCACCCAGUAGCUUGUUGGUAUGGAUACUAAAGAUUCUCUUUCUGGAAACAACGGAUUUCUACCCCCCAGCCCACCCCCAAGCACAGCCCCACCUGUCGGGAAAUCCCAGGGCCAGCAGUGGAAUGGGAGCAUUUGGGACAGUGGGUGAGAAAGCCCCCCCCCCCCCGCUACUGCUGUCCUCCCACGUAUGGCUAUAGGGGGCCAGGUGGGCAGGGUAAUGAGGACACUCUGAACCCCCAAGACCGUCACAACGUCCCGUGUUCAGCCUACUCAGGACUCUAUACUCUUGCUGUGGGAUCUUGGGCCAGUCACCUGCCAUCUCUGAGCUCAUUUUCCCUCUCUGCACAGUGGACAGGUGGUUGGCGAGAGUCACAGGCCUCCAGCACUGACCAUGUUGGAUUCUGAGCGCAAAGAGUCUGACGGAGAGAUGCCCUCUUCCCAUGGGAAUCUCCGGUGAUAUCUUUUCUCAGUCCUGGCCCCUGCUCCUUGAGGAGGACCUGAGGCUCUGGCCCUGUCUGCCCUCACAGGGCCGCCAGUCACGGCCUCCCCACAGUACACGAGCUGGAUUCCCUCUGAGAUGGGUCAAGGGGUGCAGGUCACUGAAGACCGUCUCCCCAAGCCUUACACUUGCAUUUGGUCUGGGCUGCAUGUGUUGGAGUCCAACAGUCCAGUUCAAGCCACGCCUCUGUCAUUUAGUAGCCGCGUGUCCUUGGGCAUGUUAUUGAGCCUCCCCGUGCCUCAGUUUCCCCAUGUGUGAAAUGGUGAUAUUAAACUUCUACCUCAUAGGGGCGUUGUGGGGUGAAGCAGGCCAACGUAUGGCAAGGACGUGGUGAGCACAUGGCCUGCACCUCAUAUUACUACUACAAUCCUCAUCACAGUCUUAACCCUCGGCCUCCAGCCCCCCCGAGGAUCCAUCAGUCAAAGCCAUAACACCCUCUUCCCUCUUCCUGCCUCUGCCUCCAGAUCAGUGAAUGACUUUAGACCAGCCCCUUCCCCUCUGUGGGCCUCGGUGACCCUGCCUACAAAAUGACCCUUGAACCUGAGGAGGGCAGGACCACCGUCUCUCUCCAGGGGUCUCCCCGGGGGGGGGGGGCACAGGACGCAGCACAGGGUCUGGCGCUCGGGGGACCACACAGGUGGGUAUCCAGCAUGCUCAGCACCGUGCUGCUUCUGCCAACUCUUACGUCGCCAGGAUCCCAAGGAAGAACACGCGCCUCUUUCUCCCACAGGCAUGGAACCUGGCUAAAGAGCGGAUUAGGUUGUUAAUAUCUGGAGCAUUCCUUUCUGAACUGCCGCCGGCUGUUUUCAGAGCCUUACCACCCGUGCCCACACCUCCUUCUGGCCCAGGGGUCUCCCUGAAGCUUGAAGGACAGCCCCGCCCCGUCCAAGGUUCAAGAUGGAGCUGGAACACUGGUCCGGAGGGGGAACCUGACACAGACCACAGCCACCUUGGGGUUCCUGCUCCACUGGCUUUCCUGUGGUUUCCGCUGGUUCCUGCCUUUCUCCCUGGCUCCUGCCAGCUGGCCGGCCCCGCCCACUGGUGCAGGGGAAGGUUUGGCUCCGGAAUAGGCUAUCUGUUGGCCCCCAGAAAGACAGUGGAGGGUGCCCCAGAAUGCAAGCACCUCUGGUCUAAACCCCAGCCUCCCACUGUACAGCUGGGCACGGAGAGGCCAGGGCAGGUGCCCAGGCCAGCGGGACGAGCCAGCGGGAGAGCUAGAACAAGAGCCCCAGGCCUCAAAGAGCACUUAGCUGGUCCCCUGCUCCCAACCAAUCCACAGCCCGCGCAGGAGCAGAGCUAGGUGAGAGCCGAGCCUUGGGGAGGUCACCUGCCAGGAAAGAGCUCCAGGCCCCUUGUCAACAAGGAGAAAGCCAGCUUCCUGCUGCUCCCCAGACUUGGUUCUAGAUGGCGGAGAGGAGAAUAGACAGAAAGACAGGAAGAGCUUGUGAGGAUGCUCAGCAGGUCCCUUGAGGUCCUCCGAAGUAUCCAGAGGCCUGCAAGCCAGGGAGGCAGAGGGCACAGCCGCCUUUGCCCUGGAGAGAUACUCAACGCUGUGCCCAGGUGUCAUCGAGACCUUCCUUCACACAACCCUCUGUCCCCAGAGCACGUUCAAACCUGGACACCCUGGACAAACCUGGACAUCCUUUGACCUUCACCAGAGCCUGUUACGAGUUGCCUUUUACAGGUGAGGAAACUGAGACUCAUAGCGGUUGGGCAAUGUGACAUGGAUGGGAAGGGUUCCCACUGGGUCCCCUCCUUGGCUCAGCUGCCAAAUCACUAGGAACCUUUUGCAAGCCUCUUCCGGCUCUGGGCCUCGGUUUCCCCAUGUGUAAAACGAGGCCGCUGUACCGAUGGCCUCUGAGGACCCUCCAAGCAGUCAGGUGUCCCGGCACGGGGCAGCCCCGGGCUCCAGCCUGCCAGUGUAUUGCCACCCCUCUUGCAGUUGAACAAGCACUUAUAUGCCCGGUAGCUUGUUGCAUUUUCUCAGGCGUGGGCAUCAUCAGCCCCAUCUUAUGCACGAGGCAAGCAGAGUCAAGCAGGGACAUGAAGUGACUCGCCCAAGGCCCCACACCGUGUUGGUGGUUGGGCUGCACUGUGAAGCUAGGAGAUCUUACCAGACUUUCCACCUCGAUUCCCUAGAGCUGUGCCCUCCAGCCUGGUAGUCACCGAUACAUGUGGCAUGCUGACCUCCACAUCCUAACCCCCGAAAGGGUGCCUACGCUGCCUUCCAUGGCAAAGGGACUUUGCAAAUGUGAUUAAGGAUCUCGGGACAGGGAGGUUAUGGAUUAUCUGGGUGGACCCAAUAUGAUCACAAGAAUCCUCAUAGGUGGGAGUCCAGGGGAUCAGAGUCAGGGAAGGCAAAGCGACAGACAGCCAAAGCAGGGGGGAGAAGAUGUGCCCAUGGAAGCAAGGGUUGUGAUGAUGCCCUUUGGAGGCGGAGGAAGGGA